CGGAGGAAAAGAAACCAACUGGGAUUACCUUAGUAACGGCGAGUGAAGCGGUAAAAGCUCAAAUUUGAAAUCUGGUACUUUCAGUGCCCGAGUUGUAAUUUGUAGAAUUUGUCUUUGAUUAGGUCCUUGUCUAUGUUCCUUGGAACAGGACGUCAUAGAGGGUGAGAAUCCCGUUUGGCGAGGAUACCUUUUCUCUGUAAGACUUUUUCGAAGAGUCGAGUUGUUUGGGAAUGCAGCUCAAAGUGGGUGGUAAAUUCCAUCUAAAGCUAAAUAUUGGCGAGAGACCGAUAGCGAACAAGUACAGUGAUGGAAAGAUGAAAAGAACUUUGAAAAGAGAGUGAAAAAGUACGUGAAAUUGUUGAAAGGGAAGGGCAUUUGAUCAGACAUGGUGUUUUUUGCAUGCACUCGCCUCUCGUGGGCUUGGGCCUCUCAAAAAUUUCACUGGGCCAACAUCAAUUCUGGCAGCAGGAUAAAUCAUUAAGAAUGUAGCUACUUCGGUAGUGUUAUAGCUUUUUGGAAUACUGUUAGCCGGGAUUGAGGACUGCGCUCGGCAA
This 554-nucleotide ribosomal RNA is filed under the name Hanseniaspora uvarum. Its description in RNAcentral is "eukaryotic LSU rRNA". It matches the Rfam family "Eukaryotic large subunit ribosomal RNA", at positions 51 to 607 of the family's 3401-position model. The record is from RNAcentral. Lineage: Eukaryota; Fungi; Ascomycota; Saccharomycetes; Saccharomycodales; Saccharomycodaceae.